RNAcentral lists this non-coding RNA (161 nucleotides) under Rickettsiaceae bacterium. RNAcentral's name for it is "6S RNA". It matches the Rfam family "6S / SsrS RNA". Rfam says of the family: E. coli 6S RNA was the first non coding RNA to be sequenced, but its function was unknown until recently. It consists of 184 nucleotides that fold into an extended hairpin structure with a large single-stranded internal bulge. Lineage: Bacteria; Pseudomonadati; Pseudomonadota; Alphaproteobacteria; Rickettsiales; Rickettsiaceae. The record is from RNAcentral.
AUCAAGCUGCUUGGUUCGUUAGGAUAAUGUUAGUGUCCCAGGACUAUAAUUUCUUAAAUUCGGGAGCUGUCUCUGUUGCAACCGUGGUUGCAAUAUAUGGCACCCACCUUAACACAAAGGUCUGAGAGGAUCUUUAUUCCGACGGCCAAAGCGGUGUAUCU